RNAcentral lists this ribosomal RNA (1047 nucleotides) under Triticum aestivum (bread wheat). RNAcentral describes it as "partial small subunit ribosomal RNA". The record is from RNAcentral. Lineage: Eukaryota; Viridiplantae; Streptophyta; Magnoliopsida; Poales; Poaceae.
AUGGGGCGCGCGCCGUGCUGCGACAGGACCGGGCUCAAGAAGGGGCCGUGGACGCAGGAGGAGGACGAGAAGCUCAUCGCCUACAUCAAGAAGCACGGCCAGGGCAACUGGCGCACCCUCCCCAAGGAUGCCGACCUGGAGCGGUGCGGGAAGAGCUGCCGGCUGCGGUGGACCAACUACCUCCGGCCGGACAUCAAGCGCGGCCGCUUCUCCUUCGAGGAGGAGGAGACCAUCAUCCAGCUCCACAGCAUCCUCGGCAACAAGUGGUCAGCCAUUGCGGCGAGGCUGCCCGGACGGACGGACAACGAGAUCAAGAACUACUGGAACACGCACAUCCGCAAGCGCCUCCUCCGCAUGGGCAUCGACCCCGUCACCCACGCGCCGCGCCUCGACCUCCUCGACCUCUCCUCGCUCCUCAAGCCUGCCGCCUACUACCCCACGCAGGCCGACCUCGACACGCUCCGCGCCUUCGAGCCGCUCGCCAACUACCCGGACCUCCUCCGCCUCGCCUCCACCCUCCUCGCAGCCCCGACCACAACCUCCUCGCAGCCCACGACCCAACAGCAGAUGCUCCUCCCUUGGCUGAUCCAGGCGCAGAUGGCGCAGCAGGUACCUCAGGCGCCGCCGCAACAUGCCACGGCCGCAGACAUGUUCUUGCAGCCCAGCUCGGCGUGCCAAAUGCCGGGCCUGGUUCACGCGAACCCCGCGCAGCAACUACACCAGGAUCACGUGGUGGCCUCUGACUACGGGCAGCUCCCGGGCUACGACAACCAGCUCGAGCUCGACUACGUGCCGGCGCUGAUGCAGAUGGCGUCAGACACGUCGAACCUGCAGUGGAGCAGCCCGGUCACAAGUAGCAACAACAACAACUGCAACGUCGGCUCCGGCGUAUCCACGCCGUCAUCGAGCCCCGCCGGGCGUGUGAACUCGGCUUCAACGGCAGCGUUCUGCGCCAACACGAGCAAUAUUGACGCCUUCAGCGCCGACGCCGCCGGGCUGUUCGACAUGCACCUGUCCGAUCUCCUGGAUGUGAGCGACUACAUGUAG